UUAUUGAACUGAGGUGCGGAUGACAAGAGUACAGGAAACUGGAAAGGGGAUUUCGCCGAAACGUGAAAACGUUGGGGGCUGGUCAUAAUAGGUCAGUCACUGUCAUGAUAUCUGCCCAGAUACUCAUGAAGUGCAAUCAAUUAC
Molecule: non-coding RNA, 144 nt
Filed under: Granulicatella adiacens
Lineage: Bacteria; Bacillati; Bacillota; Bacilli; Lactobacillales; Carnobacteriaceae
Also listed under: 1 other name
Description: Lysine sequence
Rfam family: Lysine riboswitch aptamer
About the family: Riboswitches are metabolite binding domains within certain messenger RNAs that serve as precision sensors for their corresponding targets. Allosteric rearrangement of mRNA structure is mediated by ligand binding, and this results in modulation of gene expression.
Source: RNAcentral